UCGGGAAUUUUGGGCAAUGGGCGAAAGCCUGACCCAGCAACGCCGCGUGAAGGAUGAAGUCUUUCGGGAUGUAAACUUCGUAAAAAUAGGAAGAAUAAAUGACGGUACUAUUUGUAAGGUCCGGCUAACCACGUGCCAGCAGCCGCGGUAAUACGUAGGGACCAAGCGUUGUUCGGAUUUACUGGGCGUAAAGGGCGCGUAGGCGGCGUAUCAAGUCAAUUGUGAAAUCUCCGGGCUUAACUCGGAACGGUCAAUUGAUACUGAUGUGCUAGAGUGUAGAAGGGGCAAUCGGAAUUCUUGGUGUAGCGGUGAAAUGCGUAGAUAUCAAGAGGAACACCUGAGGUGAAGACGGGUUGCUGGUCUAACACUGACGCUGAGGCGCGAAAGCUAGGGUAGCAAACGGGAUUAGAUACCCCGGUAGUCCUAGCCCUAAACGAUGAAUACUUGGUGUCUGGAGUUUUAUUCUCUGGGUGCCGUCGCUAACGUUUUAAGUAUUCCGCCUGGGGAGUACGCACGCAAGUGUGAAACUCAAAGGAAUUGACGG
This 544-nucleotide ribosomal RNA is filed under the name uncultured bacterium. RNAcentral's name for it is "bacterial SSU rRNA". It matches the Rfam family "Bacterial small subunit ribosomal RNA", at positions 355 to 916 of the family's 1533-position model. The record is from RNAcentral.